This 427-nucleotide ribosomal RNA is filed under the name uncultured bacterium. Its description in RNAcentral is "partial 16S ribosomal RNA". It matches the Rfam family "Bacterial small subunit ribosomal RNA", at positions 355 to 774 of the family's 1533-position model. The record is from RNAcentral.
UGGGGAAUAUUGCACAAUGGGCGCAAGCCUGAUGCAGCCAUGCCGCGUGUAUGAAGAAGGCCUUCGGGUUGUAAAGUACUUUCAGCGAGGAGGAAGGCGGUAAGGUUAAUAACCUUAUCGAUUGACGUUACUCGCAGAAGAAGCACCGGCUGACUCCGUGCCAGCAGCCGCGGUAAUACGGAGGGUGCAAGCGUUAAUCGGAAUUACUGGGCGUAAAGCGCACGCAGGCGGUCUGUCAAGUCGGAUGUGAAAUCCCCGGGCUCAACCUGGGAACUGCAUUCGAAACUGGCAGGCUAGAGUCUUGUAGAGGGGGGUAGAAUUCCAGGUGUAGCGGUGAAAUGCGUAGAGAUCUGGAGGAAUACCGGUGGCGAAGGCGGCCCCCUGGACAAAGACUGACGCUCAGGUGCGAAAGCGUGGGGAGCAAACA